Molecule: ribosomal RNA, 623 nt
Filed under: Cladophialophora carrionii
Lineage: Eukaryota; Fungi; Ascomycota; Eurotiomycetes; Chaetothyriales; Herpotrichiellaceae
Description: LSU rRNA
Rfam family: Eukaryotic large subunit ribosomal RNA
Source: RNAcentral
UUUUGCAUAUCCAAAAAGCGGAGGAAAAGAAACCAACAGGGAUUGCCUCAGUAACGGCGAGUGAAGCGGCAACAGCUCAAAUUUGAAAUCUGGCCUCCCGGGGUCCGAGUUGUAAUUUGUAGAGGAUGUUUUGGGUACCGCCCCGGUUUAAAUUUCUUGGAACAGAAUGUCAGAGAGGGUGAGAAUCCCGUCUUGGACCGGUGGUAGGGCCUGUGUAAAACUCCUUCGACGAGUCGAGUUGUUUGGGAAUGCAGCUCAAAAUGGGUGGUAAAUUUCAUCUAAAGCUAAAUAUUGGCCAGAGACCGAUAGCGCACAAGUAGAGUGAUCGAAAGAUGAAAAGAACUUUGAAAAGAGAGUUAAACAGUAUGUGAAAUUGUUGAAAGGGAAGCGCUUGCAACCAGACUUGAGCGCGACGGUUCCCCUAGCCUUUUGGCUAGGUUACUCCGUCGUGUCCAGGCCAACAUCGGUUCUGAGGGUCGGUCAAAGGCUCUGGGAAUGUAUCUACCCACGGGUAGACUUAUAGACCAGGGUGUCAUGCGACCUCUCGGGACCGAGGAACGCGCUUCGGCUCGGAUGUUGGCGUAAUGGUUGUCAGCGACCCGUCUUGAACCCACGGACCAAAA